This 97-nucleotide signal recognition particle RNA is filed under the name Catenovulum maritimum. Its description in RNAcentral is "Bacterial small signal recognition particle RNA". It matches the Rfam family "Bacterial small signal recognition particle RNA". From Rfam's summary of the family: The signal recognition particle (SRP) is a universally conserved ribonucleoprotein involved in the co-translational targeting of proteins to membranes. Archaeal SRP consists of a 7S RNA and homologues of the eukaryotic SRP19 and SRP54 proteins. In most bacteria, the SRP consists of a 4.5S RNA and the Ffh protein (a homologue of the eukaryotic SRP54 protein). The record is from Rfam by way of RNAcentral. Lineage: Bacteria; Pseudomonadati; Pseudomonadota; Gammaproteobacteria; Alteromonadales; Alteromonadaceae.
UAUUGGUUCCCUCGCAAUGAUAGUUUGUGAACUUGGUCAGGCCCGGAAGGGAGCAGCCACAGCAGAUGACUCAUGUGCCGAGGUGUAGCUGGUAAGG